Molecule: ribosomal RNA, 266 nt
Filed under: uncultured bacterium
Lineage: Bacteria
Description: partial 16S ribosomal RNA
Rfam family: Bacterial small subunit ribosomal RNA
Source: RNAcentral
GUCCACGCCCUAAACGAUGAUGACUAGUUGUUGGAGGAGUUAAAUCCUUUAGUAACGCAGCUAACGCGAGAAGUCAUCCGCCUGGGGAGUACGGUCGCAAGAUUAAAACUCAAAGGAAUUGACGGGGGCCCCGCACAAGCGGUGGAUGAUGUGGUUUAAUUCGACGCAACGCGAAAACCUUACCUACCCUUGACAUGUACGGAACCUCGCAGAAAUGCGAGGGUGCCCGAAAGGGAGCCGUAACACAGGUGCUGCAUGGCUGUCGU